Molecule: ribosomal RNA, 419 nt
Filed under: uncultured bacterium
Lineage: Bacteria
Description: bacterial SSU rRNA
Rfam family: Bacterial small subunit ribosomal RNA
Source: RNAcentral
AAGGAAUAUUGCUCAAUGGGAGAAAUCCUGAAGCAGCAACGCCGCGUGGAGGAUGAAGGGUCUAUGACUUGUAAACUCCUGUAAAGAAGGAAAAAAUUCCCAUUAGAUGGGAGAUGAUGGUACUUCUGGAGUAAGCCCCGGCUAACUACGUGCCAGCAGCCGCGGUAAUACGUAGGGGGCAAGCGUUGUCCGGAUUUACUGGGUGUAAAGGGUGCUCAGGCGGAUUUGUAAGUCAGAGGUGAAAUCUUACAGCUUAACUGUGAAACUGUCUUUGAUACUGCAAGCCUAGAGUAUGGAAGAGAGUGAUGGAAUAUCUGGUGUAGCAGUGAAAUGCGUAGAUAUCAGAUAGAACACCAAUGGCGAAGGCAGUCACUUGGUCCAUUACUGACGCUAAAGCACGAAAGCGUGGGUAGCAAACA